GAUGAACGCUAGCGGCAGGCUUAAUACAUGCAAGUCGAGGGGCAGCAGGUCCCGCAGCAAUGCGGGAUGCUGGCGACCGGCAAACGGGUGCGGAACACGUACGCAACCUACCCAUAACUGGAGGACAGCCCGGGGAAACCCGGAUUAAUACUCCGUAACAUAUUGAGAAGGCAUCUUCUUACUAUUAUAGUCUUCGGGCGGUUAUGGAUGGGCGUGCGCCUGAUAGGUAGUUGGCGGGGUAACGGCCCACCAAGCCUACGAUCAGUAACUGGUGUGAGAGCACGACCAGUCACACGGGCACUGAGACACGGGCCCGACUCCUACGGGAGGCAGCAGUAAGGAAUAUUGGGCAAUGGACGCAAGUCUGACCCAGCCAUGCCGCGUGGAGGAUGAAGGUCCU
RNAcentral lists this ribosomal RNA (400 nucleotides) under uncultured bacterium. RNAcentral's name for it is "bacterial SSU rRNA". It matches the Rfam family "Bacterial small subunit ribosomal RNA", at positions 28 to 418 of the family's 1533-position model. The record is from RNAcentral.